UUCGGACGCGGCAACUCAACAGCUUCAAAUAAAGUAGGAUAUGAACACAACAUUGCUAAUAAAAUAUAAUAUUAUUAAUGUAAAUAUUAUAUAUUUACUAGUUGAGUGUAUAUACAAAUGCACGUACCAAUUAUUUAGUUGUUCUUUCGGUAUCAUAUUUAUCCAAAUAUUUAUAAUAAAAAUUUAAAUUUUAAAAAAGUAGAUUCAUCUUUAUCUUAUUAGAAAAUAUCUAUUAUAUUCUAACUGAAAUUUGAAUGAUUGCUAUCAACUAUAAUUAUACACUAGUGUAGCGACCCGCACGAUGCAGCGGAUAGAUAAUAGAAGCAAAUUUUUAAAAUUUUAAUAAAAUUUAUAUUUACAGUUUAUAGGAAGCUAUACCAUGUUAAGCACAGUUAAUUUGCAUGACUAAAUUUAAUUGUUAAAAAAAUAAAAUUAUAGCUAGAAGCAUAUGAAAUACAUAAAUAAUAACUUAACGUAUCUGGCUUAAGAAAAUUUUAGGUGGGGUCUCAGGCUCCAGUCUCCACAUCAUACUUUUUAAUCUACGAAAGGAAUUUUGCCCACAACAGUGUCUACUCAAAAAAAUGGUCAUAAGAUGAAAAUAAAACAAAAAACAUCAAUCUUGAAAAAACUAAUACUUUUUUGGAGCACUUCUUUUACUCAUCCAAAUCUCAUACAUCUUCUUAAUUUUCAGCUGGUAGUUGCUUCCCACGCCGAGUCACUUCUGGAUUUUCAUUGUAACCUAUGAACAAACACCUCAUCUGCAUCACCAAACUGCUAUAUCUAAACUGACUCAGCCUUGCCAUCACAUCAACCACAGAAAUUCUAAUUCUUAAACAAUUUGAUUUAUCAAAAAGUUCCUGCGAUUCUUGAGAAGGAGCUCCCGCGCAACGUCCCCGCAAAGAGGAGGCUAGGACGCCGCUCCCCUCGGCCCAGUUGUGGGCGCGCGUGAGCCGCGCGAGGAGGCAGCCGAGGCGGUGGCGGUUCACGGCGAGUGAGGGCUCCGGCGCAGACCGGCUCUGCGAGCACUUAUAUGAGCCGCGACUGGACUUUACAGGACGAUACUUUUUGAAGGAGACAACGUUCUUCGCAUGCUCUUCUUCUUCAUCAUCCUCAUAAUCUUUGUUAACACAAUGAGAUAGAGAGAAGGAGAUGAGUGUGGGGUGAGAGAUUAGAUGAUAAUAUUUUUUUUUUCAUGGAAAAUAACAUGUCAUGCAAAAAAAAAGGAGGUGGGGGGAUUAAUGGCGGAGAGGAGUGGAUUGGAGUUACAAAGCUCACUAAUUGGUGGAAUAUGAUGUAUUUAAUUAAAUGUGGAGAGGUGAAGGGUUGAGCAUUUAGAAUGGAGAAGAAACUAAUUGGUGAAAUAUGAUGCAUUUAAUUAAAUGUGGAGAGAUGAAGGGUUAAGCAUUUAGAAUGGAGAAGAAACGAAGGAAAGAAAAUACAUUGCCUCAUGAAUUGGAACCCCAAAUUAGAAAAGGAUAUAUAUCAGCAAAGUAUGGCGCAAAUCGUUUCCGAUCCCAUACCUGCGAACCAAAAUAAUAAUAAUAAAAAGACUUAAAUUCAACUAAAAGAGAAUUAGGGAUUAAGAAAUAGAGCAACUGAAACAGAGGAUUGAACACAAAUUCAAGAAACAAAGCAUAAAUUGAUACAAAAAUUAAUGAAGAGAUCACACAUGAUAGGAUUUUUAGGGCAAAGACUGACACGUGAGGAGGAUUGAAAACCUGCAAAUCUUCGACACGGAGGCCGAGAUUGAGGGAGAAGAGUUGGGAGCUAGGGUUAGAGUUCGACUCACCCGACAUUGGCGUCGUUGUCAGUCGUGGUGGAGGAGGCGGAGGCGGAGGCUCAGGCGGACAAAAGGUGCUGGGCCGCUGCCUCUGUCCGCGGCGGAGAGGAGAGGUGAAGGGUUGAGCAUUUAGAAUGGAGAAGAAACGUAAAUUAAAAAAAAAUGAAAGCUUACCACGUCAUCAUUUUACAUUGAAAAUUCAUAUAAGAGUAUAGAUUUCUACCAUUUUUU
Molecule: long non-coding RNA, 2011 nt
Filed under: Ananas comosus (pineapple)
Lineage: Eukaryota; Viridiplantae; Streptophyta; Magnoliopsida; Poales; Bromeliaceae
Description: long non-coding RNA (ACOM_LNC006938)
Source: RNAcentral